AAAGUCAAAUAGCACGUGAAAUUGUUGAAAGGGAAACGAUUAAAGUCAGUCGUACCGAUGGGCAUUCAACUCCUUGAGCGUGAUCAUGUUGGGUGUUGGGGAGCUUAACCGCCCUCGCGUCUGCGUGUUUGUGCUCUUAGGGUGUACUUGUCCGUAUGGUUGGUUAACAUCAAUUUUGGUCGUCAUAAAAUGGCGGGAGGAAUGUAGCUUCGAUCUCGUAUUGAAGUGUUAUAGCCUCUGGCAGAUGUGAUGAUCGGGAUUGAGGAUUGCAACGAACCCUUCGGGGCCACCUGUCUGGCCUCUGGUGGUCUCUCUGGUGCCGAAAGCUUGCUUACGGUCAUCAAAGUUGGUUGCUAAAAGGUUAGAACGGGUUGUAUUCGUUAAGGAUGUUGACGUAAUGGCUUUAAACGACC
This 413-nucleotide ribosomal RNA is filed under the name Rhizophagus sp. CSD-2020a. RNAcentral's name for it is "partial large subunit ribosomal RNA". Lineage: Eukaryota; Fungi; Glomeromycota; Glomeromycetes; Glomerales; Glomeraceae. The record is from RNAcentral.